RNAcentral lists this unclassified non-coding RNA (194 nucleotides) under rhizosphere metagenome. Its description in RNAcentral is "partial ribosomal RNA internal transcribed spacer region". The record is from RNAcentral.
GAGUACCGGGUCUUCGGGCCCAUACUCCCACCCUUUGUGUACCUACCUGUUUUUGUUGCCUCGGCGGGGUCGAUCCCACGGGCCCACCGCCCGCGGGGGACCCGCCGGGGGGACACACCAAAACUCCUGUCAACAGUGACGUCUGAGCAGAAAAUAAACUAGUCAAAACUUUCAACAACGGAUCUCUUGGUUCU